Molecule: ribosomal RNA, 253 nt
Filed under: uncultured bacterium
Lineage: Bacteria
Description: partial 16S ribosomal RNA
Rfam family: Bacterial small subunit ribosomal RNA
Source: RNAcentral
GACGUAGGAUGCGAGCGUUGUUCGGAUUUAUUGGGCGUAAAGCGUGCGUAGGCGGCUAUUUAAGUCUGGUGUUAAAGCUAGGGGCUCAACCCCUGUGUUGCACUGGAAACUGGGUAGCUUGAGUGUGGUAGGGGAAGGUGGAAUUCCUAGUGUAGCGGUGAAAUGCGUAGAUAUUAGGAAGAACACCGGUGGCGAAGGCGACCUUCUGGGCCACUACUGACGCUGAGGCACGAAAGCGUGGGGAGCAAACAGG